ACAGCAGCAGCCACGGUAAUACGAAGGGUGCAAGCGUUACUCGGAAUUACUGGGCGUAAAGCGUGCGUAAGUGGUGGUUUAAGUCCGUUGUGAAAGCCCUGGGCUCAACCUGGGAAUUGCAGUGGAUACUGGGUCACUAGAGUGUGGUAGAGGAUAGUGGAAUUUCCGGUGUAGCAGUGAAAUGCGUAGAGAUCGGAAGGAACAUCUGUGGCUAAGGCGACUAUCUGGGCCAACACUGACACUGAGGCACGAAAGCGUGGGGAGCAAACAGGAUUAGAUACCCCAGUAGUCCCUGUCUCUUAUAC
Molecule: ribosomal RNA, 305 nt
Filed under: uncultured bacterium
Lineage: Bacteria
Description: partial 16S ribosomal RNA
Rfam family: Bacterial small subunit ribosomal RNA
Source: RNAcentral